This 1095-nucleotide long non-coding RNA is filed under the name Equus caballus (horse). Its description in RNAcentral is "lncRNA (ENSECAG00000057162.1)". The record is from RNAcentral. Lineage: Eukaryota; Metazoa; Chordata; Mammalia; Perissodactyla; Equidae.
CGUCCAGUUAGUCUGUAGGCUGGGGAAGGGGACCCCACCCACCCAGGGGGUCCUGAGUGCGAGUUCUGAAGGGGAUGGGGAGGGAAUGGAUUACGUACUCUGAAACCACGGCAUUGGUUCAAAUUCCAUAGUGACCGUUGACGAAAAAUGGGGUCUGCAGGCCUGGUCCGGCGGUGUGACCACUGGUGUCACUCUAUCUUCGGCUUUAUUUUAAUCAACAUGCCAGGAACAUUGGUAAAAAGGUCAGUUGUAAAAUGAAAUGUCACAAGUUAGGGAUCAAUGGUUACAUAGACAUUGCUCAAGUUUCCGUUUCUCCUGAGAAACUGACCUGGGGUCAACUGAAAAGAAUUUAGGCCUCAGUCAGCAAGAGAGGGUCUGUUUUCUUUUAAAAGAUUGGCCCUAAGUUAACAUCUGUUGCCAAUCUUCCUCCUUUUAUUUUUCCUUCUCCCCAAAGCCCCCCUGAGCUGACACUGGGCUACUGGGGUAACCCAGCACAGUCUCCCCGACUCAAGAGCCGCGUCUGCCAAGUGCCCUUGCCAUGGAGGGUGACGUGCUCACAAGUUGUGAGCAUUGAUGCCGAUCUUUUUGGGGACCAUUAUUCUGCCUACAGCAGAGCAAGAUUGCAUCUUCUGGAAAUGGAAGGAGCACAAGUCUAUUGGGGAUGCUCUUCCAGGGGCCUCUGCCAUCACGUUGGGCUCCCUCCUUUCAAGUCCUCGUUGGUGGGCCCUUUGGUGAAGAGAGUUAAGCACACCUGCUCAGCCCACCACACUGAACCAGACAUUCUGGACGUGCAGCUGUGCCGGCGUGCCCCUUGCAGACAGCAGACAGCAGCUGUGUGUCUGUGCUCUGCGGGGACACCUCCAGCUACGGGAAGCAGUUCUUGAGGCUGUACUUUAAAAAAAUUUUCCUAUUUGUAUGCACUGGUUUGAUUUUUAAAAACUACGAGCACAGAUGUUUUACUGGAGAAAGAACUAUGUAAAAGACAUCAUUGGGGGCAUUACUGGAAAGGGGUUGAGCAUGAACAAGAAAAAGAGGAACUAGGGAACUUCUGCCUCUUGUUACAUUUCUCCCACUGGAAACUGAAACAAAGUGGCA